ACACGGCUAGAAAAGUGAAACUGCGAAUGGCUCAUUAAAUCAGUUAUGGUUCCUUUGAUCGCUCACCCGCUACUUGGAUAACUGUGGCAAUUCUAGAGCUAAUACAUGCAAACGAGCGCUGACCUCCGGGGAUGCGUGCAUUUAUCAGACUUAAAACCCGCGCGGGGUGCUGCCGCGUGGCGGCCCCCGGCCUGUUUGGUGACUCUAGAUAACCUUGGGCCGAUCGCUCGCCCUCGCGGCGGCGACGACUCAUUCGAAUGUCUGCCCUAUCAACUUUCGAUGGUACUCUACGUGCCUACCAUGGUGACCACGGGUAACGGGGAAUCAGGGUUCGAUUCCGGAGAGGGAGCCUGAGAAAUGGCUACCACAUCCAAGGAAGGCAGCAGGCGCGCAAAUUACCCAUUCACGACACGUGGAGGUAGUGACGAAAAAUAACAAUACAGGACUCUUUCGAGGCCCUGUAAUUGGAAUGAGUGUACUUUAAAUCCUUUGGCAAGUACCAAUUGGAGGGCAAGUCUGGUGCCAGCA
Molecule: ribosomal RNA, 528 nt
Filed under: Merlangius merlangus (whiting)
Lineage: Eukaryota; Metazoa; Chordata; Actinopteri; Gadiformes; Gadidae
Description: SSU rRNA
Rfam family: Eukaryotic small subunit ribosomal RNA
Source: RNAcentral